GAUGAACGCUGGCGGCGUGCUUAACACAUGCAAGUCGAACGGAAAGGCUCCUGCUUGCCGGGGUACUCGAGUGGCGAACGGGUGAGUAACACGUGGGUGAUCUGCCCUGCACUUCGGGAUAAGCCUGGGAAACUGGGUCUAAUACCGGAUAGGACCACAUUUUGGAUGGUGUGGUGGAAAGUUUUUCGGUGUGGGAUGAGCUCGCGGCCUAUCAGCUUGUUGGUGGGGUAAUGGCCUACCAAGGCGUCGACGGGUAGCCGGCCUGAGAGGGUGUACGGCCACAUUGGGACUGAGAUACGGCCCAGACUCCUACGGGGGGCAGCAGUGGGGAAUAUUGCACAAUGGGCGCAAGCCUGAUGCAGCGACGCCGCGUGGGGGAUGACGGCCUUCGGGUUGUAAACUCCUUUCGCUAGGGACGAAGCGUUUUUGUGACGGUACCUGGAGAAGAAGCACCGGCUAACUACGUG
This 467-nucleotide ribosomal RNA is filed under the name uncultured bacterium. RNAcentral describes it as "partial 16S ribosomal RNA". It matches the Rfam family "Bacterial small subunit ribosomal RNA", at positions 28 to 507 of the family's 1533-position model. The record is from RNAcentral.